This 466-nucleotide ribosomal RNA is filed under the name uncultured bacterium. RNAcentral's name for it is "partial 16S ribosomal RNA". It matches the Rfam family "Bacterial small subunit ribosomal RNA", at positions 28 to 507 of the family's 1533-position model. The record is from RNAcentral.
GAUGAACGCUGGCGGCGUGCUUAACACAUGCAAGUCGAACGAUGAAGCCCAGCUUGCUGGGUGGAUUAGUGGCGAACGGGUGAGUAACACGUGAGUAACCUGCCCUUAACUCUGGGAUAAGCCUGGGAAACUGGGUCUAAUACCGGAUAGGAGCGUCCACCGCAUGGUGGGUGUUGGAAAGAUUUAUCGGUUUUGGAUGGACUCGCGGCCUAUCAGCUUGUUGGUGAGGUAAUGGCUCACCAAGGCGACGACGGGUAGCCGGCCUGAGAGGGUGACCGGCCACACUGGGACUGAGACACGGCCCAGACUCCUACGGGAGGCAGCAGUGGGGAAUAUUGCACAAUGGGCGAAAGCCUGAUGCAGCGCCGCCGCGUGAGGGAUGACGGCCUUCGGGUUGUAAACCUCUUUCAGUAGGGAAGAAGCGAAAGUGACGGUACCUGCAGAAGAAGCACCGGCUAACUACGUG